RNAcentral lists this long non-coding RNA (418 nucleotides) under Salmo salar (Atlantic salmon). RNAcentral's name for it is "lncRNA (ENSSSAG00000103762.1, ENSSSAG00000109890.1)". The record is from RNAcentral. Lineage: Eukaryota; Metazoa; Chordata; Actinopteri; Salmoniformes; Salmonidae.
CAGGUGUCUGUCUGUUGGUGUUGUUUAUCCUCCAGGUGUCUGUCUGUUGGUGUUGUUUAUCCUCCAGGUGUCUGUCUGUUGGUGUUGUUUAUCCUCCAGGUCUCUGUCUGUCUGUUGGUGUUGUUUAUCCUCCAGGUCUCUGUCUGUCUGUUGGUGUUGUUUAUCCUCCAGGUCUCUGUCUGUCUGUUGGUGUUGUUUAUCCUCCAGGUCUCUGUCUGUCUGUUGGUGUUGUUUAUCCUCCAGGUCUCUGUCUGUCUGUUGGUGUUGUUUAUCCUCCAGGUCUCUGUCUGUUGGUGUUGUUUAUCCUCCAGGUCUCUGUCUGUUGGUGUUGUUUAUCCUCCAGGUCUCUGUCUGUUGGUGUUGUUUAUCCUCCAGGUGUCUGUCUGUUGGUGUUGUUUAUCCUCCAGGUGUCUGUCUG